Mus musculus (house mouse) is the source of this 5160-nucleotide long non-coding RNA. RefSeq annotates it as predicted gene, 38864. The record is from RefSeq and is a predicted model, not a curated record. Lineage: Eukaryota; Metazoa; Chordata; Mammalia; Rodentia; Muridae. The transcript is spliced from 3 exons.
CAGUGUUGAGUGGCGCAGGUGGGACAAAGUAGGGACCAAUGAUCCCGCUCAUUUCCUGUAUGCUAUUGCUGCCUUUCCAGGUGUGAGCAUUCUGAAGGGUCGCUCUGCCAGCAGAGAUCAGGCGGUCCUACCCACGCGGUUGUUGUCUCUACUUCCCUGCUAGAGUUAUAGCCAGCUUGCAUCUAAAUACACCUUCAGCUUGGUACCAGCAGGCCUGAGCCUUUCCAUCAUCUGGCUCAGACAAUCGGCAUUUUCAAGUGCAGGCUUGAGGAUGCUGAGGAGAAAAGCUGUUUUCUUUCCCAAGCGCAUCUGCACACUGAACAUCUGUAUAGCCCUGCUUCUCCCAAGGACCUGGACCCAACAGUGUCUUUACUUUUAGGCUUCCAGGAGAAUCCUGUUUUUUUUUUUUUUUUUUCUUCUUGGAUCCUUUGGGGGUAUUCUUCUUUUCCCCAACCUCUCUGCUUCCAGACCCACAGUACCAGCAGAUUAAGUUAUUUUAAUUUUAUGAAUAUGCAUAUACAAAAGCCUAAGCUAUUUUCUGAGAGAAAGUGCAAACGAGUCUGCAGGAAAUGUGCGGCUAUUUCUGCUGAUGGGUAGAAGUAUGGCUGAAUCACACCCAGAGCUACUGAGUGCAUUCCGUGAGUAGCGAGUGCCUUGCUUUUCUGGAUCAGAACGGUUUUUCAAUGUGCUGGUGAUGCUUAGACAAAUGGUAUUCGUUUCCCCGACAAGGAAACGUCAGGAUCUUUCACUGACCCUGGAACUCGGGGAUUUGGGGAGAGCAGCUGGCCAUCAAGCCCCAGGCAUCCUGCUGCCCCUCUUCAUCUGCAAUAGAAGGGCAGAUGUAUGCUGCUAUGCCUUCUUGUUGUUUGUUUUUGUUUUUAGACAUUGACUUAACUAAGGUCCUCAUGCUUUCGCAAUAUACAUCCACAUUUCCCCCUGACGGCAACAAAUGCUCCUGGCAAAGCAAGCCUGCCCUCACAUCCAGGAUGUAACUGAUUUGUUUCCUUUCUCCUUGGCGGUAAUUGGUGCAACAAUCCAGGAUCACAACAGCCAAUGAUUCCUAGACAAAUUGUUGAAGCGCAGCUAAAGAAAACUGGAGGAUAUAUUGGCCAGGGACUUUGGGAAAGAUAAAGUUGUGGGAAAGAUGGUCAUUCUUGACCAAGGUCAUUGUCUUAGCAGAGUUUUAUACUGUUUGUUCAAGGAUGGAGCAACAAUGGGAAGGAGAAAAAAAAUAGAAUCAUAAUGAAACAGGCCAAGCCUCCUCCUCCAUAUUCUCAGUCUUGCAACCAAUGUAAGCUAGAGAGUUCCCUGAUUAACACAGGCUGCACUUUCUGUUUGCUUCUUCCUAAGCCAUCAGCUUCACACAGAGGCUGUUAUGUACCAGAACAGGUACAAGAGCAGAUACCAACAAUCAAACUAUGACAACAACCAAAAUACUUAUGACAUUUUCAAGGCGCUGUAUUCUUAAAAAAGCCUUUAACAUGUUUUAAUGCAGUCAGUAGUCUACAGCAGUGUGACACACAGCUACGGUUACAAUGGGGUUUUGUUUUGUUUAGAAAGUUGAGCCUCAGUCUGAAAGGAAUCAAACUGUGUAGUCAGAAUUGCCCGGAGAGUCCUACCUUUCCACCCUUGUAAAUCAGCUGCUUUCCAUUUUCUCUUCCACUACUCAGCUGAUAAACUAUAUUUAUUAAAGACUCAUGUGUCACUCACACACUGGGCACAAACUAAUGACAAUGUCCCCAGAUCUCAUGAAAGUUACUUUCUAGUGAGUAGUAAAAUCAUAAGUUAAUCACGAUAAUUCCAUGCAGAGGGCAUUUUAAAAACAGGAUAGAGAUUAUUGAGAGGAAUCAGCAGGAGGCUCUGGUGAUAAGUGGUCAGGGAAAACUUUUCUGAGAAAAUUGAUAGUUAAGUUGUAUUUUUUAUUUUAAAAUAUCUAUUAGUUUCCAGUGUGUGUGCGUGCAUGCGUGUGUGCACAUGCACGUGCAUGGGCACGCGCACAUGUGUAUUAUGCAGAAGGAUAGAGGAGCAUGUCCUACCUGUUUAUCCAUCAUCCUCUGACUCAUUCUCUUGAGACAGAGUCUCUUGAUGAAGCUUACUGCUUUCUUUUAGCUAAGCUAUUUGGCCAGCAAGAUCCAGCCACCCCCUUGCUGUGACCUCUUCCUCUGGUGGCAGGAUUACAGGCAUACACAAUUCUGUUCAUGACCAGGUUACAGGUACACAUGAUUCUGCGCAUGUGUGGGUUUAUAUAGGUACUGGGGAUCCAAACCCAGGUCCUUGUACUUGUUCUAUGAGUCAUCUGCCCAGCAGGGGUUGAGUUUGUAAAAAUGAACAUCAGCUAAUUUGCUGAUAGACACCAGGAGACAUUUGGAUUACUGGCAGAAGAUAAAAAGAAUGUGGAUUAGAAAUCAGUUCUCCAUUUUUAUCCUCACUGAGUAUAAGGAGAUGCUAAAUGGAGUUUCAGUACAAGGUCCAGGAGGCGAGCAAAGAACUCUGUUCUGAAAACUCUCAGGUCUGAGAAGCAAGGCACUCAGUUGAUAGCUGAGAGACUCUAGUCACACAGGGAUGAUGGCUUGCCCAGUAUGCAACACAUACCCUGGUGAACACAAACUUGACUUCUGGGUCUGUCUGAAGACAGAGGUACCUGCCUCAGACAAUUGCCUACUCUCUAAGGAGUGUCUGAUAGAUGGUGCCAUCAUUAAAUUAUAAAGACGCUUGCUUACAAAUGGCAAGUAAUGAGUACAGACUUAAUAAGCUUACCAAUGGUCGCAACAGCUUUGAGGAUGUCUCUGUUGGUGAAUUCCACAGAGCCCAGAAGAUGCUGUCAAUACUCCUAUAGGGCUACCUAGUUAAUGGAAUGAGCAGCAACUGUGGCAUUCCUUGGCCAAUUCCUUGAAUGACUAAAGAAGAUACUCAUAGUCAUUGUGUUAAGCCUCAGAAUUCUAUAGAAGAGCCUUUUCUAGUUAGUGGCGAUUACAGACAUUGCUUUCCUCUGGCACUUACAUGUGGCACUGCAAUUUUGCACACUGCAGGUCUAGACUUCAAAUCUCAUUCUAUGAAAUCUCUUAUAUGAACCCUGUGAGUUAGAUCACAUUGGUAUUAUUACAGGUAUUAGUGUUUUCUGUUGCAUCUUACUUGGUUGUGGAGUUUUACAGAGUGUGAGAAAAACAAAAAUGAAAACAAAAUGAACAAACAAACAAACAACAACAAAAUUGUAGUCAAAAAUGCUCUCCAGAAUUGUCUUUCUCAAAUAUUCUAGUACUCUCCCAUGAAUGUUGUAGGUUGUUGCUAUUUCUUUUUCUCACACACGGUAAGGCAGAUGAUUUCUUUUUUUGGGGGGAGGGGUCAUCAUAGAAAAUAUUAGAGACAUGUUUAGUAAGGUAAAAUGUCUGUUUCCUCAUCAUCCCCUCCCCCAUACUUCCUGGUCCCCCCCACAGAUAUUGGAGUAUGCCCAGCAGAAACUCCCACUAGAUACAAUUGUGCACUCCCAGAUUAUAAAUGCAGAAUUAGUCUCCGGUAAACUAACUCCCUGUAGUGAUCCAUUCAUAGCAGAGCCUCAGGUGGAACUCAGGCUUUUUAUAGAUGCAUGCUCCCGCUUUCUCCUUUGGUUCCCAGAGCAUCAAUUUUCCCUACUCUCCAUCCCCCACCACUUCACUCUUGGGCCCAGAUUCUGUGCUUUCUCUAUCUCUCUAAAGUCUAACUCGGUCUGUGCCUUUGCAUUUGCCUUUUAUUAGCUGAUCUUCCCCUUCCCUGUUUGAAUGAAUUUAUUUCCAUCCUGGUGUUGGCUUUACCUUUUUAUUUUUUUUAAAGCUCUUAAAUCAUCUGUUUAAUCUUUUUUUUUCUUUUGAUAUCUUUGACUCUUGGUCAAGAUUAGCACAAGCAAAGGUGUUCAGUCAAAAGGCUCCAAGUCGCUUCACUAACAUCUUGACUUCUCAACUUCCCCAGAGGUUCCAUCACACCCCAUGGCCCAGGAAGAGGAUUGUCAUUGUCACCAAGGAAAAGCCUAUUUAGGCGAAUGCCCUCUGCAGAGUCAUUUAUCUUCUAUUCUAGUUUAUACUAGAGACAUGGCUAUUGUCCAAAACGGUGAUUUAUUAGGGGUUCUCUUUAGGACUGUGUUUAAAGACACUAUGCCCUACAUUGUGAGAUUGUUAAAGUAAAAAUUUCCUGUAGAAGUAAAUUUAGAGCAGGACAAUGGGUGUGGGGGAGGAGAGUGUUGUCUGAAGUGCAUGGCAUUCUUACUGUUGGGGCUGUGGGUCCUUCUGGCUGUGCCAUGUCACACUGUCCUCUCUCCUAUUACUGCACGACUUUAGAGCUUAAGCAAUGCUACCUCAUUUAUCUGACUGUUCUAUAUUCUAAAGCUGAGUUCAAUUGUUUCAAGAGUUGCGGUGAUUUUAUUAUAGAAUGUCUUCAUUUAGUGUGAUGGCCAUUUAGUAAAUGUUUACAUUCACCCCAGGCAAGCUGCAAGAGGAAACAAGGGAAGACUUGCAAAGACCUCACAUAAAUUGGCUUUAAGACAGUAAGACAAAGAACAGGGUAGAUAACUACUGUUAAGUAUGGGACUGUCUUUAGGUGGAAUGAAGGUAGCAGUGCUGUGCCUUUAACUUACCAUUGAACACUGGCCAUUCACACUUCGGAGCCUCUCUUUCUGCUGGGCACAUAGUGUCAUUGUGGUAUCAUACCCACAAGAACACAAGGCUCGUUCUCAUUCAUCCCAGAAUAUGGAUUUGAUGUGGGAAGGCAAGGUCUAGUCCUUCUAUGCCAUGCUGCAGUACCCAAAGGCUCAAAGGAAUGCGCCAGGAAGAACUGCCAAGGCUCAACUCUGUUGCCUUCUAGGAAAGUGUCUUAUCAUUAAGCUUGACCUUUGAAGACUUUUUCCUCUUGCCUUUUAUAUACACACCGCAGCGACUGCCUCUAACUCUAACUGGGGUGAUUGGAACACUCUGUCAUCUGCUGGUGUUAAAGUGUUACAUUGAAUGGAAAUGCUGAGAGGCAGCUUGCCUCUGAUUAUGUAGGAUUCAAGGCAUCCUGAUUGCUAAACUACUUACUAUGACAAAUGCAAGAACUUUCUGGUUCAUUGACUCUGGUUGUGUUCUUGACAAAACCUCACGAAAGCAAAGAUGUCUGGUUGCUUCACAAAGAAAAGUAUUAGUUGUUUGUCGCCCC